UUAUAAGAAGUUUUUGAAUUGGCUCAGGAUGAACGCGGGCGGCGUGCUUAACACAUGCAAGUCGAACGAUGAAGCCCAGCUUGCUGGGUGGAUUAGUGGCGAACGGGUGAGUAACACGUGAGCAACCUGCCCCUGACUCUGGGAUAAGCGCUGGAAACGGUGUCUAAUACAGGAUAUGUCCCGUCACCGCAUGGUGUGCGGGUGGAAAGAUUUUUCGGUUGGGGAUGGGCUCGCGGCCUAUCAGCUUGUUGGUGAGGUAAUGGCUCACCAAGGCGUCGACGGGUAGCCGGCCUGAGAGGGUGACCGGCCACACUGGGACUGAGACACGGCCCAGACUCCUACGGGAGGCAGCAGUGGGGAAUAUUGCACAAUGGGCGGAAGCCUGAUGCAGCAACGCCGCGUGAGGGAUGACGGCCUUCGGGUUGUAAACCUCUUUUAGCAGGGAAGAAGCGAGAGUGACGGUACCUGCAGAAAAAGCACCGGCUAACUACGUGCCAGCAGCCGCGGUAAUACGUAGGGUGCAAGCGUUAUCCGGAAUUAUUGGGCGUAAAGAGCUCGUAGGCGGUCUGUCGCGUCUGCUGUGAAAUUCCGAGGCUCAACCUCGGGCUUGCAGUGGGUACGGGCAGACUAGAGGCCUAGAAAUACCCGGCC
RNAcentral lists this ribosomal RNA (651 nucleotides) under Microbacterium esteraromaticum. RNAcentral describes it as "bacterial SSU rRNA". It matches the Rfam family "Bacterial small subunit ribosomal RNA", at positions 1 to 664 of the family's 1533-position model. The record is from RNAcentral. Lineage: Bacteria; Bacillati; Actinomycetota; Actinomycetes; Micrococcales; Microbacteriaceae.